UGGCUUGGCCAUCACCGAUACUGGAAGCUUGGAAUGACACAGAGAGAAUUUGCAUGAUCAUUGCACCAGAUGGCAUGCACCUUCAGGAAGAAUUCCAUAUUUUG
This 104-nucleotide small nuclear RNA is filed under the name Loxodonta africana (African savanna elephant). The record is from RNAcentral. Lineage: Eukaryota; Metazoa; Chordata; Mammalia; Proboscidea; Elephantidae.